UUUUGUUUUGAAAUUGUAAUUUUGCUCGGAGUGCAAAAGUUCAAGUAUGGGGGAAUUUGAUCAGUGCAUUUUGAUGCACAUUCUUCUAUAAUUAAACUUAGGAAUUUAUCUAGUUUAUUUUACUUAUUUUAAUAUUUUAUUAUGUUUUUAGAUUUAAGUUCAUGUUUUCCUUUAAUCUAUUUUCGUUUGCUAUUUUCAGUUUUAGCGGCUAUUU
Molecule: long non-coding RNA, 214 nt
Filed under: Lathyrus oleraceus (garden pea)
Lineage: Eukaryota; Viridiplantae; Streptophyta; Magnoliopsida; Fabales; Fabaceae
Description: Pisum sativum (pea) long non-coding RNA (PSAT_LNC008848)
Source: RNAcentral